AUUGAACGCUGGCGGCAGGCUUAACACAUGCAAGUCGAGCGGAGUGAUGGUGCUUGCACUAUCACUUAGCGGCGGACGGGUGAGUAAUGCUUAGGAAUCUGCCUAUUAGUGGGGGACAACAUCUCGAAAGGGAUGCUAAUACCGCAUACGUCCUACGGGAGAAAGCAGGGGAUCACUUGUGACCUUGCGCUAAUAGAUGAGCCUAAGUCGGAUUAGCUAGUUGGUGGGGUAAAGGCCUACCAAGGCGACGAUCUGUAGCGGGUCUGAGAGGAUGAUCCGCAAGACUGGGACUGAGACACGGCCCAGACUCCUACGGGAGGUAGCAGUGGGGAAUAUUGGACAAUGGGGGGAACCCUGAUCCAGCCAUGCCGCGUGUGUGAAGAAGGCCUUAUGGUUGUAAAGCACUUUAAGCGAGGAGGAGGCUCUUUUGGUUAAUACCCAAGAUGAGUGGACGUUACUCGCAGAAUAAGCACCGGCUAACUCUGUGCCAGCCGCCGCCGUAA
This 503-nucleotide ribosomal RNA is filed under the name uncultured bacterium. RNAcentral describes it as "partial 16S ribosomal RNA". It matches the Rfam family "Bacterial small subunit ribosomal RNA", at positions 30 to 523 of the family's 1533-position model. The record is from RNAcentral.